RNAcentral lists this transfer RNA (64 nucleotides) under Plakobranchus cf. ocellatus HW-2015. RNAcentral describes it as "tRNA-Trp". It matches the Rfam family "tRNA". From Rfam's summary of the family: Transfer RNA (tRNA) molecules are approximately 80 nucleotides in length. Lineage: Eukaryota; Metazoa; Mollusca; Gastropoda; Plakobranchidae. The record is from RNAcentral.
AGAGCUAUAGGUUAUAAUAGACCGUUGGCCUUCAAAGCCGAAAGAGGAAAUUUUCCUGGUUUUG